RNA transcript from Cercocebus atys (sooty mangabey), 3775 nucleotides. It is a transcript of the gene named retinol binding protein 5, cellular, with no coding region annotated. Lineage: Eukaryota; Metazoa; Chordata; Mammalia; Primates; Cercopithecidae. The record is from RefSeq and is a predicted model, not a curated record. The transcript is spliced from 5 exons.
GGUCCCAAGCCAAAGAGAAUAAAAUUCUCCAGAAUAGCCAACAAACUCCUCUCUGGCUGUCUGUUCCGGACUUUGAACUCAGCAGCCCUCGGGCUCCGCCUCCCUCCUAAAGGCUCGUUAGGACCAAGAGUCUGGAAAGCCACUUUGGGGUCCCAGUUGAGCACAUUGCCUGAGGGAGCUUUGGGGGCCAGGCCUACAGGGUGCUCUUCAUGGUGGCUUCUGGGCAGCUGGCUGUCCUCACCCCUCCCCUCACAUCUUCCAACAUCACUCAGUCCCAGGAUCUCAGGAUAUUGCUGGAACUCAUCUCCACCUCACACAGCCAGACCAGCCUCAGGUGCCUCCUAGGAGAGACUGACCCUCAGGCCCUGGGAGGGUCCCCAAGCCUGCCAAAAAUGAGGUGGAGGCCAAAGCUGGCCUUCGGAUGGUUCGAGUUUUGGAUGACUGACAGCCCCAGAUCCUGCUCCAGGUUCUUUCCUCAGGAAAAGCCAAGGUCAGACACAACUUUGCCAAAUCCCUGCCCCUUCUUCAGGCUGGAGACACCACCCCCAAACCCACCAUAGGGGGAGGGAGAAAGUCUGAUAGGGACUCUUAUUGCAACAGGGCCCCAGCCUUAUAAAAAGCCCUGGUAACCAGGCCCUUACACAUCCUGUCUCUGUGUGUGCCGGCUGGCCUGAGUCUCUCAGCCUCACCUGCCAGACAACGCCCCCUCCUUCCUCACCCUGUCUCCUGUAUUCUCCUGAAACCUUGAUCCACACAAUGCCUCCCAACCUCACUGGCUAUUACUGCUUUGUGUCACAGAAGAACCUGGAGGACUACCUGCAAGCCUUAAACAUCAGCUUGGCUGUGCGGAAGAUCGCGCUGCUACUGAAGCCCGACAAGGAGAUCGACCACCAGGGCAACCACAUGACGGUGAGGACGCUCAGCACCUUCCGAAACUACACUGUGCAGUUCGAUGUGGGAGUGGAGUUUGAGGAGGACCUCAGGAGCGUGGACGGACGGAAAUGCCAGACCAUAGUAACCUGGGAGGAGGAGCAGCUGGUGUGUGUACAGAAAGGGGAGGUCCCUAACCGGGGCUGGAGACACUGGCUGGAGGGAGAGAUGCUGUAUCUGGAACUGACUGCAAGGGAUGCAGUGUGCGAGCAGGUCUUCAGGAAGGUCAGAUAGCCAGAGAGGAACUGAGGCCCCUCCAGACAGCGCCAGCCCACAGACCCUCCUGCCGUGCCCCCUUCAAGCCCAGAUUGUGCCAGAACAACAGCUAUGGCAUCUUCCUUGACCCAGGCAGGUGGCACAACGCAAAGCUAAAGACACCGCUCAAGGAGUCGUGUAACCUCAGGUGAAUUCUUUCACUUCUGUGUGCCUGUUGCCCCUCCCAGGCCUGGUCCUGAUCCACCUUCUGUCUUAUCUUCCACACCUGCUCCUCCCCUUGGAUUCCUCUCCCUUCCUGGCUGUUUUCAGAAGAGGCUCGCUCAUAUCCUUGACCCAGCUGUAAGGAAACUAUUGUCACCCUUAAUGCAACUAAAGCUUAUCCUGCUGGGUCCUCACUGGAGCAAGAACCCACAGGGGAAAGGGCAGCCAGGUGGCAAAACCCCACCCCAGCCUGUCUCCCACCACUCCGUCUUUUCUGAGAAGCACAGGUGGGACAAGAUGGGCCUCUUGCAUGAGGGUUUAUUAAAGUCUUGAAGGAAACAAAAGGGAAAUAGAACAGAGAGUAAUACGCACCUCGGUUAUCUGAGACACAAAUGCAGCCUCAGCCAUAAACGUAUUGAAGGAAGGGAUAGUCCAGUGUAUAACAGAAACGCCCUGCUAUUGGCAAGCAAAGCACAGAUGGAGUGAAUUUAAAGAGUCCUUUACUAAAGGACUUUGUUUCAGGACGAAAGACCACACAGAGCCCACAGGGUGUGGGAGAUCUGGAACUGGGAUCUCCAGGCUCUGAACUUGUUCUGUUGGGCAAUCUGCUGGUGGAGACCUUGUCUUCGAGUGUCGGGAUGCACACUGUGGUCUGCCUCCUCUAGGUUGCAAAGGGCAUUCUAUCUGGGACUUGUCUUCCCUGCCCAUCUGCUCUUCUUUUCAACAGCUUCUUGGUUCUUUUGAAACCUAUGCUGUCUUCCCAAAGCUCUACCCGCUAUUGUGUUGGCCUCCUGUAAGCCAUGCUUUCAUCCGUCCAGUCCUGCUCUUGGGUGGGAUGAACGAGAGGACUCUACAGAUCUCAAGGUGGAGGAGGAGAGGGUCAGAGCCCCCAAAGGCACUCUGGAUUCGGGUCAAUGCACCUGAAAUACAAGCACACCCAGCAAAAAUAAUAUCCUGCUAGCUGAUCGUCUGCAUGUAUUGUACUAAAAUAAUACAUCUACUUCUAAGAGAACCAGCAUCCGAGACAGCCACCAACAAUACCUGCUUCCCAGUAUUCCUGUCCUUGUGAUGUCUCCUUCCACAUCGUACCAGGAUUGUCUGUGUGACCAAUGGAAUAAGGCAGAAAUGAUGCUAUGUCACUUCCAAGGCUGGCUUAUAAAAGACACUGCAGCCUCUGCCUUGCUCUUUCCAUCUUGGGUCACUCUGGGGAAAGCCAGCUGCUAUGCCACGAGGACACUCAAGUGUCCUUAUGAGGAGGGCCACGUGGCAGGGAACUGAGGCCUCCUGCCCACAGCCAUGUGAGUGACCGUCUGGAAGCAGACCUCCAGCGCCAGUCCUGCCUCCGGAGGACUGCAACCUGCACCUGGACCAAAGCCUUGUGAGAGACCCUGAUCCUAAACUACCCAACUCAGCCACUUGUGGAUUCCUGACCCACAGAAACUGUGUGAAAUAGUACAUACUCGCUGUUUUAAACAAAAUGUGGGGGUGAUUUUUUACAAGCAGACAGAUAACUGAAACAUAGUCUUAACCUUGAUUUUCAUUGCAAUGACCCCACCCUGACUAUAGCCUCAAUAUUCACUAAGUGGGCAGAAGAAUGGGGUUGGGGUGUGGGGGCAACAGAUGACUUCGGACAGUAAAAACGUAUCCAGCCACAAAAAGCUAUGACUCCACCCUCAGUCCUCGCAGCCCUCCCAUCCUAGCUCUAAGCCCAGACCACUCAGCACCCACAGCUCAGCGUCUGCCCUUCCACGAGUCUAGAGUGUGAAGUUCAGAGGCGGGCAGCUGCCCCCUUCUCUCCCUCUUUGAGCACCUGAGUCCUGUCUGAGGACUGCCUCUCCCCUAGGUAAUUGUUAAAAGGAAUGUCCAGCAUCUUCAGAUGGUACCCUGCUCCUUUCACAGUUGUGUGACCUUACUCUGUGGCUUCAAAAGGACAGAGACAUCAGAAUACAACUCAAUGUGCCUUGCGCCAUUAGACGGCAUGAGUGACCAGACGUAGGGAGGAUAUAUCAGACAGCACCGGAUCUUAGCUGGUAGGAAGUUGAUUGACAAGUUCUGUGGAGGACAGAGCAGCAGGGCCCUGAAGUCCACAGCGAGAAGGGGAAGAUGGUGUUCUAGACACACCAGCAGGGAAGAGCCAAACCUGGAUGGUCAGUUUGACCUCCCAGGGUAAGGAGCCUCUGGGUCUUCCGUACCCCUCUCAGGACCACCCCAGUGAAACUAGAGCCAGAGGGUUCUUUGCUGAAAAGAGGGUGAGUGAGACGGAGAGAUGCAGAUGAAAGGAGGCUUUGUGCAGAUGCCAUCAGGUUUUGCCAAAUCUAAAGCCUGGAAAAAGGAGGACACCCGCUGAUAGGAUUUGGCUCUAUGUCCCCACCCAAAUCUCAUGUGUAAUUGUAAUCCUCAAGUGUUGGAGGAGGGGCCUGGUGGGAGG